UCAGAUAUGAAUCAGUGGUAGAGCAUUUGCCUAGCAUGUGAAGAUCUUGGGUUCAAUCCCCAGUAUCUGAA
Molecule: transfer RNA, 71 nt
Filed under: Heterocephalus glaber (naked mole-rat)
Lineage: Eukaryota; Metazoa; Chordata; Mammalia; Rodentia; Bathyergidae
Rfam family: tRNA
About the family: Transfer RNA (tRNA) molecules are approximately 80 nucleotides in length.
Source: Rfam by way of RNAcentral